This is a long non-coding RNA of Salvelinus sp. IW2-2015, 524 nucleotides long. RefSeq lists it as uncharacterized. Lineage: Eukaryota; Metazoa; Chordata; Actinopteri; Salmoniformes; Salmonidae. The record is from RefSeq and is a predicted model, not a curated record.
GUAUUGUUCGGUUCGCAGUGCGUACCGAACCGUGCACCGUGGACCCUGUACCGAACAGUUCAAUAUGAAUACACGUACCGUUUCACCUCUACUAUCCAUAGAGAAUUAUUAAAUCACUGCAUAAAAAUCCUCACUAGUAUGAGAAGGCCAUCGACCAGUUUGUCAACCAGACUAUGAGAAGAAAGGACUUCAUCUUUAACUAAUUCCCCCAUGCUACACCCAUGGCCCUCUGAAAAACUAAACAGACUGAACAGCCCUGUACCCCUUUGAAGAACUGAACAGCCCUGUACCCCUUUGAAGAACUGAACAGUCUGUGCCCAUCUGAAGAACUGAACAGUCUGUGCCCCUCUGAAGAACGGAAUCCCCUGGUUAUUCCCCAUUUCCCAUAUGCCCUUUCAUCCACUGGCACAUUGAAUGUUUCCUGUCCAAGCACUUCAAAUCCUGUACUGCCCUUAGUGGAGGAGUUGGGCUCUUCUCCAACACCAUCCAUCCAUCCAUCCAUGAUUAAGCUUUUUCUGCACUGA